This 5413-nucleotide long non-coding RNA is filed under the name Sus scrofa (pig). Its description in RNAcentral is "lncRNA (ENSSSCG00035008776.1)". Lineage: Eukaryota; Metazoa; Chordata; Mammalia; Artiodactyla; Suidae. The record is from RNAcentral.
GGCAUAUGGAAGUUGCCAGGCCAGGGGUUGAAAGGGAACUGCAGCUGCUGGCCUACACCACAGCCACAACACUGCCAGAUCUGGAGCCACGUCUUCGACCUAUACCACAACUCACAGCAAAGCCAGAUCCUUCAUCCACUGAGUGAGGCCAGGGAUGGAACCUGAAUCCUCAUGGGUACUCGUCAGGUUCAGAACCUGCUGAGCCACAGUGGGAACUCCAAAUGAGAACCAUCUUAGAGAACCAUCAUAAAGCUAAAAAAAACUUAAAAUAUUUCAAGAAUUCCUUUCUACUUCUCAAAAUAAUCUGCAACAACUUCCAAAACAUUAAAAAAUAGUGAGUGUCCUUAGCAAAGAGAAGUAUAAUGUCCACUCAGAGGACUGAACAAUUGGGCAGGAACAAUACAGAAUGUUUCAAGUUCUCAUAAUUAUCCACUUAGCCACAAAUAUGCUAAAAACUGAAAAAGCCACCUGGACUUUAAAUGAUUGUUGGAUAACUGAGUUCAAAUGAGAAUUUCUUAUAAUUAAAGAGAAACAAAGGCAAGAAAAAGCCCCUGAAAAAGCUGUCAGACCUUCUACAUUGUAUUCAUUUUUUGUUAUGUAUUAUCUUUCAUAUCUAGCACAAAUAUCUACUUCUUUGAAUUCCUAAAGCUCUGCCGUUUUCUAGACACAUGCAAUAAAUUAAAAUUUGAUCCUGCCUGCUGAUAGAUUGAUGCUGUGUAGCUCAUAAUUUUAAAUUGAAGAGCAAUCAGCCAGAAUCCACAAGUCAAUUCAACUCAGCAUACCAUUAUUAAUUAACAUUUAAUGAAUACCCGUGGGUGUCUGCAGCAGCAUUACAAGUCAGGAAACCAGUUGCUGUUUGGGGGCAUGUAGUCUAAUUCAUAUCUAAUUACCAACCUAAAUCGGGUUCAACUCUGAAUACAGACUGGCAGAUCGAUGGGCAUAUUGCUAUAGAGGCAAGAUUCCUAAAAACAAACCCAUGAGAAAUAACAGAAUACUUUUCAAAAUAUAAUUUAAGAAAGCGACUGAAGAGCUCAUCGAUAGAGGCCAUCUUUCCUGAUCUCUUUUUUGUGGUUAUUGAAGAAGAAUGUUUUGUAGUUGAAAGCAAGAUUACAUCAAGGUCAUUGAGUUUCCCUUCAGUGGAGUCCAUCAACACCAAAGUUAGCAAAUUCAAUAUUUUAGAUAAUAGAAAAACCUGAACCUAUGCAGGAGGGAUGAAGAAAGCAAGCCUGAACUAGCUGUAACCGUUGUGGAAAGAUCUUUCUUUAAUAUGUGGACAGAGGAUUGGAGAAUUUCAUGACUCUAUUCCUUGAACCUUAUUAUUUGUUGCUCUUGAAUAUGCACAGAAGCUUGACCUAAAAUAUACUGGAACCCACGAGGAAGACCUCCUGGUGGUUUGCAACACACUACAGAGGACGAAGUGAGCAAAAACAGGUGAAAUUAUUCACUAUCGAAAUGAAAUGCCAGCAGAGAACAACCAUAAACAGGAAACAGUGGGAGUGCUUUACCAACUGCUAGGUAGCAAUUUCAGUGCAAAAGAAAAACAAUAAACUUAAAAUUAAUUGAGUGCCACACCUACUUAAAUUUUACGUACUUUCAGGAUUGCCAAGGCACUGUGGAGAGUACAGAAGAGAAUUUAUGAUAUGCUAUCUCCACCAGGACAUUACAAUCUCAUGAAGGAGACAAAACAUGAAAUGGAAGAAGAUUACAGAGAAAGCAUGAACUGAACACAGUCAGGUGCAAUCCUUUAUGAAACAGAGAAUUAAAUGCACUGUUUAAUAAGAAAGUAAUAAGUAAACAGUCACUUUUCAGGAAGAAUGUUCUGAAAGCAGGGGACUUUGAGAAGUGUUUUGACAAACAGUUUCAAAGUUGAGGUGGUGUUGCAGACGGGGAGGGAACACAAGUGCAUGAGGGCACAGCGUGUGUGAAGACCUGGCUGAGCUGGCCCUUCUGCAGUGAAGUCUCAGACUGAGUUGGCUUUCACAUGCUCUGGAUUUCCUCCAGCCUAUGUCUGAACUCUGAGAAGCUCCUCAGCCCCACCAGAGCAUUUUCUGGUCCCAUUUUCUUGAGCCUUCCUAAGUUCUUCCUGUUUAUUGCCAUCAUUUUCCAGGUUCAGGGUUGGCAAAUAAUUGCCCCAUUCUUAGAAGCUUCCUAAACUAGAGAGAGUAGCAACAGGGUGUCACUUUUGGGAUGAAAUCCUCAUAAGCAACAUGACAUGGCAGGCACCAAACCAGGUCAGAUACAAGGAUGAUUAGGUCAUGAUUCUUGUUCAUUAGUAGUGAGUGUGUCAUCUAGCAAGGGAAAUUAAGAAGUAUAGGAAUAUCCACUUUUUACUCUUAGUAAAAGCAGGGGCAUUGUGAGUAAAUACAAUGCUUACACACAUACCAAUGCAUAUACAUGCUGACACUUUUGCUGAUAAUGACAAUGUGUCAGACAGGAAUUCAUUUGCACAUAAAGCUAGAAGAAAAGAGAAAAUAUAUAAUGUUAAAAUCAUUCAGGAAAUCAAUUUUAAAAAGAGUAAGAAGUGCAGCAUCCUUGAUAAGCAUCAAAUAAUACUUCUUUUAACUGAAUUCAUCCGGAUGCAUCUACUUAGUUUUCAUAAAGGGAUUUAGGUGAGAAAAAUCUAUUAAAGAUUUCAAUUCAUGUAUAAUUUUAAACAAAAUAAACUAGAUUUGUUUGGCUUUCCAAUAGUAAGGUGGCAGCUACAGGAAUACCAAAGGAUAAACUAGCCACAGGGGGGCUUUCUCUUUUUUUAGAACGUGGGAGCAUAUGAACACUAGGAAUAAAUUAACAACUACAAAGAAACAAAGUGGUAACUUGAAAAUCAAAAAAAGGGGCUCAGAAUUUGAUCAAGGCUGAAUCCUGAUUCCACAGCAAGAUGUCUGACCAAGCAAGAUUUCAUGCAAAUCAUAUAUUUUUUUUCAUCUUGCAUCUACAAUAAAGAUAAAAAAAAAAUCAGUCACUUCUUUGCGUAUUCAGUCUACAUCUUUAUCAAAUGUGCCCUCCUGCCAGGACUUUAACCUUCUCCUUUAUUUAAAUUAGCAAUAAUAAAAAACCCUCUCAUUCAUAAAGAAUGAUGAGAACUAGUGGGUGAGGGGACUCUGCCCUGAAGAGGAAGGACAAACCUAUUCAGGAGACCACUCAGGUCACGAAGCUCAGCCACCAUCUGCCUUAUCCUGCUCCUCAUGAAAUGUGGGCUGUGACUCAAUCUGUUAAUUGAUGCCAAACAAUGCUGAAAACUUUCCUGUUCAAUAUUCGGCACUAAACAAUCUCAAGUACUUGAUGAAGUUUGAGAUUACUGUUUACUUAUAUGAAAUGUGGGGUCUAUGUGGUGAGUUUCUUCCCCUACAAUUUUCCAGAGGCCUUUUGAGUUUUCCGCAUAUGUCAGUUUGUAGAGUCAAGAUGAAAAUGGUACAAAAUUUAAGGAGCACCAAAAUACUCCAUAAUUAAUGAUAUUUUAUUAACAUAUUUGAUAGAAACAAAAUACAAGAAAAAUGCAUCAUGAGUGAAAUAUCAAAAUAAAAGCAGGGUCCCUAUUACUGAUUUUCCCUUUUGCCUUAGGUUCCAAUGCCACUGUCACUGAUCCUGGCCUUGUUAGUUUGAAUAUUAUCAACCCCAACUAGUCCUUCCCUUCUAAACCCCCAUUUCAGCCAAGUAAGCAUACUCCCUGCCCUCCAGAUGGUUCGUCAUUAUUUAUUUGACUCUGAGAAACAGCAGAGAGUGAUAAAAGCAGCUUCUUUAUAUAAGUGAUGGGUUUUAGCAUGAUGGAAAAAUCUAUAAUGGGCACUUUGUAUGCUAGGCGUGGUAGUCAUAAUUCUGAAAUAUUUGUGAUAGGCUUUCACUAUCUUCUCUGAGAAGAAUGAAAAAGAAAAACAAUGCCUGCAUAGUUCCUCUUAUAAAGCUCCUGCAUAUAAUACAGCUCCUGGACUAAACAAUAUCUUUGGCCUCUAACACCAGGUUCAAUACAGCUUAGCAGUGACCUUGGUCCAAGACGACGGCCUGAUUUCAGUUCCUUCUUGACAGAUGUCCGUGUACUAAUUGGUACCCAGGUGACAGCAUCAUGAAGCCAACCAGGAGGAAUCAAAUGUGAGCAGUAACCCACGGACAUAACUUAAGAUCAUCUAUGUGGUUGAAACCAGGCAUGUGAAGCUCUACUUUCCUUUGCUUCCUGAAAUGUAAGGGGGAAACGGACUGCUUCCCAUGGUCUCACUGUCAUGAUAACUUAAGGCAGAAUGCUCUUGGUGUUCGUGUAGGAAUAAGGGGCAACAGUGAGCUUAUGUUCCACAUAUGAUUGAUGUUCAGUGGAAACCAAACGUCAGGGAAGCUUUUCUUCAUGCCAACAUUUGGAAGCAAAGCUCUUCGUUUACGUGCCUAACACCUUCAAUCAGAUUCACUGUUAGGUAAAGAGCAUAGGGUCAUCUUCUCAAAGGGAAGAAAGAAUUGGGAACGAGAGAGGACGGGGCAGGUGAAAGAAGAAUGGAGAAAGGAAGUACAUGGUGUAAAUACAGAUAAUAGUUGUAAAAGUCCGUUAUCACAUCUGCUUUUUUUUUUUAGUAACUUCCAACAACAGAUUAUAUUUUCUGAAGAAAAAGAGGAUUUAAAGAAAAUUUCUUCUACUUCAACAAGAUAAUGCACCUCUGUGCCGAGCUUAGUGACUGGCCCAUGUGACGUGAGGAGAUGCUGAUUCACAAAUCACCCUCUUUUUUCUCCUUCUCUGGAAGGUAAAACGAAUCCUUCUUUGCCCUCCUUUCUUUUCCAUAUUUUCCAGUGCUAUGGAAAUGCUUUCUCCCUUAGAAUUAUGACUGUAUCUCUACCUUCAAACCCAGAGCUUCUCUAGUAUUUUUUCCUAAUGGACAAAAACCACAAAUUAAAGAUAACUCCAACUAUGGUUUUGCAUAUAAUGCUAAAUUUAAAAAAAUCAGGUAACGAAUUUUGAUACAUUCUCUGUCCCCUGACCUCUGACCAUAAUUUUCGGUUUGAUCCUACCAUUACAGGCAAUAAUUAAGCAUUUGUAAAUUGUUUUGUUACCAGUCUAUGUGUAAAGUCUUGUGAUUUGAAAAGAAUCACUCACCCACAAAAGGGGUUCGCUUCCAAACUGCUCUUCAGCAGAUGUUUAACUAUAUGCUGAUAAGGGCACUCUUAGCAGUUUCUCUUCACAAAAAGCCAUUAUUCCUUUCAAGGAAUGGCCAUUUAAGCCACUGAAACAAGCCUAUUACAUAUACUUAUUUAUUUGCUUUCUUCCUGAUUGUUUCAUGCAAUCGGCAAAUAAAUCAUACAAAAAUAGUGUGACUCCUUAGUAUAUAAUUUCCAGAUGUCAUGUUAGGCAAUAGAAAUAUUUCAUUCCUAAGUUUAAACAAAGAUAUAAUCAUUUUCAAUAGCUUUGAAAAUUGUACAUUCUCAAAGAUGCCAUAAUCAU